This 1026-nucleotide ribosomal RNA is filed under the name Lederbergia lenta. RNAcentral's name for it is "bacterial SSU rRNA". It matches the Rfam family "Bacterial small subunit ribosomal RNA", at positions 60 to 1066 of the family's 1533-position model. Lineage: Bacteria; Bacillati; Bacillota; Bacilli; Caryophanales; Bacillaceae. The record is from RNAcentral.
AGUCGAGCGAAUGGAUGGGAGCUUGCUCCCGGAAGUUAGCGGCGGACGGGUGAGUAACACGUGGGCAACCUACCUGUAAGACUGGGAUAACUUCGGGAAACCGGAGCUAAUACCGGAUAACUUCUUUCUUCUCCUGGAGAAAGGUUGAAAGACGGCUUCGGCUGUCACUUACAGAUGGGCCCGCGGCGCAUUAGCUAGUUGGUGAGGUAACGGCUCACCAAGGCAACGAUGCGUAGCCGACCUGAGAGGGUGAUCGGCCACACUGGGACUGAGACACGGCCCAGACUCCUACGGGAGGCAGCAGUAGGGAAUCUUCCGCAAUGGACGAAAGUCUGACGGAGCAACGCCGCGUGAGUGAUGAAGGUUUUCGGAUCGUAAAACUCUGUUAUCAGGGAAGAACAAGUAUCGGAGUAACUGCCGGUACCUUGACGGUACCUGACCAGAAAGCCACGGCUAACUACGUGCCAGCAGCCGCGGUAAUACGUAGGUGGCAAGCGUUGUCCGGAAUUAUUGGGCGUAAAGCGCGCGCAGGCGGUUUCUUAAGUCUGAUGUGAAAGCCCACGGCUCAACCGUGGAAGGUCAUUGGAAACUGGGAGACUUGAGUGCAGAAGAGAAGAGCGGAAUUCCACGUGUAGCGGUGAAAUGCGUAGAGAUGUGGAGGAACACCAGUGGCGAAGGCGGCUCUUUGGUCUGUAACUGACGCUGAGGCGCGAAAGCGUGGGGAGCGAACAGGAUUAGAUACCCUGGUAGUCCACGCCGUAAACGAUGAGUGCUAAGUGUUAGAGGGUUUCCGCCCUUUAGUGCUGCAGUUAACGCAUUAAGCACUCCGCCUGGGGAGUACGGCCGCAAGGCUGAAACUCAAAGGAAUUGACGGGGGCCCGCACAAGCGGUGGAGCAUGUGGUUUAAUUCGAAGCAACGCGAAGAACCUUACCAGGUCUUGACAUCCUCUGACCACCCUAGAGAUAGGGACUUCCCCUUCGGGGGACAGAGUGACAGGUGGUGCAUGGUUGUCGUCAGCUCGUGUC